This 490-nucleotide ribosomal RNA is filed under the name uncultured bacterium. RNAcentral describes it as "partial 16S ribosomal RNA". It matches the Rfam family "Bacterial small subunit ribosomal RNA", at positions 30 to 507 of the family's 1533-position model. The record is from RNAcentral.
AUUGAACGCUGGCGGCAGGCCUAACACAUGCAAGUCGAAUGGUAACAGGAAACAGCUUGCUGUUUCGCUGACGAGUGGCGGACGGGUGAGUAAUGUCUGGGAAACUGCCUGAUGGAGGGGGAUAACUACUGGAAACGGUAGCUAAUACCGCAUAACGUCGCAAGACCAAAGAGGGGGACCUUCGAGCCUCUUGCCAUCAGAUGUGCCCAGAUGGGAUUAGCUAGUAGGUGGGGUAACGGCUCACCUAGGCGACGAUCCCUAGCUGGUCUGAGAGGAUGACCAGCCACACUGGAACUGAGACACGGUCCAGACUCCUACGGGAGGCAGCAGUGGGGAAUAUUGCACAAUGGGCGCAAGCCUGAUGCAGCCAUGCCGCGUGUAUGAAGAGGGCCUUCGGGUUGUAAAGUACUUUCAGCGGGGAGGAAGGGAGUAAAGUUAAUACCUUUGCUCAUUGACGUUACCCGCAGAAGAAGCACCGGCUAACUCCGUG